UCACGUAGUUCAGAACAUUUCUAAGCUAUGAAAAGUUGCUUGGCUAUCAGCCCAGAUCACCAGAGCCUCAGCUACCCAGUUCUUAUCAAGCAAGUGAACGGCGUGAAUGCCGCUCAAGCAUAUUUUGGAAAUGGAACCAGACUCACAGUACUAGACCCAAGUGUUCCUGUUACAUCACCCAAGAACCUCAAAAUCCUUAAGCCCUCUAAAGAAGAGAUCAAAAAGAAGAAAAAAGCCACGCUAGUGUGUGUGGCCACUGGUUUCUACCCUGACCACAUCACUGUUUCUUGGAAAGUCAAUGGACAGGACCAAACAAAAGGGGUUAAGACAGAUGAUGCAGCAAUCAAGGGCAACGACAAGAAGUACAGCAUCACCAGCCGGCUGAGAGUCAGAGAAACAGAAUGGUUUAACCCCAAGAAAAAAUUCACCUGCAUCACUUCCUUCUACAAUGGGUCCGCCUAUAUGAAAAAUGAAGUGCAGAUCAAUGGAGAGGGUUGUGGCCUCACUGCAGAUGCUUACAUGGGAAGCACAAAAAAUGUAUCCACAUACUAUGUCAUUUUCCUUGGCAAAUCUGUCAUGUAUGGGCUGUUUGUGACUGUUCUAGCCUGGAAAAUAAAGAGAAAUUCAGGAAAACAUUACAACUGAAGGAUUGUAAAACCAGUCACAUAAGAAGAGAUGUGAAACUUCUAUUUGCUUAUAAAAGGAUAUUUCCUUUACAUUCUGGUAACCAUGAUGUGCUAUAGGAUUAGGGACUGGCACUAACAUGACCUUCUACCAAUCGUAUAACUUCAGUUUCCUUUUGUUCCAAAAAAUUAUAAGGGAACAGUAUCACUUGCAAUGAGGUAUGCAGAAGUGUAUAAGUGAAUUACUGCUGCACUAAAGAAUUUUUUAAUACCCUGAAUUACACAUGAGUGUUUUACCUAUAUGAACUCUGUGUCUGUCAUAAAUCCUAAAAAUAAAGUAUUUGUUUUCUGCAACUCUGUCAAUAAAGACAUUUAUUUUGGAAUUUAUGAAGCAAUAUGUUAUUAGUGGUUACAAUGCACAUUACUUGACAAACAAUCAAAUUAAUAUUCAAAAUAAACUAAUCCAACUGUAAGUAAAUGUAAACCGUCAUAACUGUAGUACCAUACAACUGUAGUAAAUGUAAAGGCACCUCUCCUGUUAUCAUUAAGGCAAUAUACAUAUUGUAUUUGUUUAUAAAGCCAAAUCUACAAUCUGGAUAUUGACAAGUUUGUCAGUUAUUGUUGUUUUGUACUGUCUGAUGCUUCUAUUAUUUUGUGCUGUAAUUAUAUAAUUAUCCAAAUAUCUACAAUGCGCUUUUUCAGCUGUCUGAUAUUUUAUAUCCUGUGUAGGAUAUAAAAACGAAGAGGAAAAAUUAACUCAACUGUGUCUGAAAGUUGAAAGGCAAAAAGAAAACAUUAUCUAGAUUAAUCCUUAAGUGAAGUGAUAUUUGCUGUUGUUAUACAUUGUUUUAACUCUGUAAAAAAUGUUAAAUAUAAUUUGUGAAAACCAUCUGUUUCCUUUCUGUACCUUCUCUUUAUAUAGAGAAUUAAAAUCAUUUUCUUUCUCACAA
Molecule: non-coding RNA, 1573 nt
Organism: Lepisosteus oculatus (spotted gar)
Lineage: Eukaryota; Metazoa; Chordata; Actinopteri; Semionotiformes; Lepisosteidae
Source: the annotation of a RefSeq genome assembly